CCAGCAGCCGCGGUAAUUCCAGCUCCAAUAGCGUAUAUUAAUGUUGUUGCAGUUAAAAAGCUCGUAGUUGGAUUUCUGGCCAAACAUCUCACCCUUCCUAACAGUUGCGGUAGAGAUAGUUAGGCCAUCCUUCUGAAGAGCAUGCGGUGCUUAACGGUUCCGUAUGUUAUUCAGAAUUUUUACUUUGAGGAAAAUAGAGUGUUUAAAGCAGGCGUUCGCUUUGAAUACAUUAGCAUGGAAUAAUAAGAUAGGACUUUGGUCUUAUUUUGUUGGUUUCUAAGACCGAAGUAAUGAUUAAUAGGGAUAGUUGGGGGCAUUCGUAUUUAAUUGUCAGAGGUGAAAUUCUUGGAUUUGUUAAAGACGAACUUCUGCGAAAGCAUUUGCCAAG
Molecule: ribosomal RNA, 388 nt
Filed under: uncultured eukaryote
Lineage: Eukaryota
Description: SSU rRNA
Rfam family: Eukaryotic small subunit ribosomal RNA
Source: RNAcentral